RNAcentral lists this unclassified non-coding RNA (570 nucleotides) under Hevea brasiliensis (rubber tree). Lineage: Eukaryota; Viridiplantae; Streptophyta; Magnoliopsida; Malpighiales; Euphorbiaceae. The record is from RNAcentral.
GAUGUGCUUGCAAUGUGGAAUACCUAAGACAUACUCCAGUGCACGUGGAAUGGUAUGUCCUGUGUGCGGUGAUCGGCCGUUCGACACAAACAAAGAGCCCAAGAAAAAGGGUUCAACGAUUAAAGAUAAGGAAAAAAGUAAGAGGAUUAAGGGCCAGUCAUCUCACGCUACAUGGAAAAGUGAGACAGAGAUGCAACUCAGACAACAGUUUGAUUAGCAUAAUUAAGAUUCCCGUGAUGUUAAGGAUCAUUAGGAAAAAUGUGUAAUCAAAAAUGGUUAAAGUAAUCAGCAAUCGAGAAGCAGGUCCAAGUACAUUUGAGAAUGCGCUAUCUGUAUCUGUCUAAGAAGUACGGCUGCUGUUGCACAGUUUGAAUUUGAUGCUUAGGAUCAGCUGUGGUUAGUUUGUUCUUUUUCUAUCUCCAUCUUAUUAGCUAAAUUGCCCAAAUUCAUGCCUUCGCUUUUGGCAAAUCUUUCGAUUUUAACAAAAUGACCGUGAUCGAUGUGAUAGAAUUAUCGUUCAAAAUUUCGUCAAUAGAUAUUGAAAGUUUUCUUGAAGUUCAUGUCAACAAU